GGCGGGGCUGCCUCGUGCUUUUCUGUGAACUUCCAAUUGAAGCAAAUUUCGGUGUGAGUUUUGAAGUAGAAACGGCUACGUAAGACGUGUGGCACUGCUCCGUGCAGGAAUUUCUCCCUGGUGGUAGCAGCUAUUUCUGUUCCGAGGAACGCUGAGCACUUUCCAGAUCUUUCUGAGGUCCUUUGCAUCAUCUGACAUUUCUGCAGGCAGUGGUUGCUCAGUGCUGAAUUUGAUGGCAAACUGCAGCUGUGAAGUUACAGGAGACAAGAGAACUUCUCUAUUAGUCGUCCAAACACAGACAUUUCAACAUGAGGCCGAAGAAAGAUGAUCAUUUUCAGUGUAAGGAGGAAGCAGACACCCAGCAUCAGUUGCGGGAUCCCCAGCAAUGGCAGCAGAAUCAGCAUUGUCUGGGAGGUAACCAUUGCACAGGGAUUUGGAGCACAUCAGGAACAAACGUAAACACAUGAGAUCUGCUUCAGGACUGGGGCAUUUCCAGGUGAAGUCAUAGAUUAUGACAUGCCAUCGUAAAAAUGUGGCUAAAGAUCACGCAGGCUUCUUUCUGUUGCUCAAUCUGAAUUCUGCACUUUUGUCAGCAUCUCCUUUAAAAUAAGGCACAAAAAGAAAGGAACUCUG
RNAcentral lists this long non-coding RNA (633 nucleotides) under Gallus gallus (chicken). RNAcentral describes it as "long non-coding RNA NONGGAT002541". Lineage: Eukaryota; Metazoa; Chordata; Aves; Galliformes; Phasianidae. The record is from RNAcentral.